AUGAUCUCUUCAUCUUUAGUGCUGCUUCUGGCAGUGAUAUCCUGUAUUGAUUCAUAUGAACUCACUCAGCCUGAGUCUCUGAUUGUCCGUCCUGAUGCCACUCUCACUAUCAACUGUAAAGUCUCAUAUUCAGUUACAAGUAUUGAAUGCCAGACAUUCACUCAGUCUGAAGCAGUGGUUAAAAAACCAGGAGAAUCUCACAAACUUACAUGUACAAUAACUGGAGUUACUUUCAGCGGUCUCUAUCUGAGCUGGAUCAGACAGAGCCCUGGAAAAGGACUGGAGUGGAUUGCAUACAUCAGCACAGCUAGUACUCCAAUCUACUAUUCCCAGUCAGUUCAGGGCAGGUUCACGGUGUCCAGAGAUGAUUCCAGCAGUCAACUCUAUCUACAGAUGAACAGCCUCAAGACUGAAGACACUGCUGUGUAUUACUGCGCUACAGAGUCACUGUGA
Non-coding RNA from Onychostoma macrolepis, 453 nucleotides. NCBI's taxonomy places the organism in Eukaryota, Metazoa, Chordata, Actinopteri, Cypriniformes, Cyprinidae. The record is from the annotation of a RefSeq genome assembly.